ACUAAGCCAUGCGAGUCGAAUGUAGCAAUACAUGGCGAACUGCUCAGUAACACGUGGACAACCUGCCCUUAGGUUGGGUAUAAACCCGGGAAACUGGGUAUAAUACCCGAUAGGUCUCGAUUGCUGGAAUGCAUCGAGAUUUAAAGCUCCGGCGCCUAAGGAUGGGUCUGCGGCCUAUCAGGUAGUAGUGGGUGUAGCGUACCUACUAGCCUACGACGGGUACGGGUUGUGAGAGCAAGAGCCCGGAGAUGGAUUCUGAGACACGAAUCCAGGCCCUACGGGGUGCAGCAGGCGCGAAAACUUUACAAUGCUGGCAACAGCGAUAAGGGAACCUCGAGUGCCAGGUUACAAAUCUGGCUGUCGAGAUGCCUAAAAAGCAUUUCAUAGCAAGGGCCGGGCAAGACCGGUGCCAGCCGCCGCGGUAACACCGGCGGCUCGAGUGGUAACCGUUAUUAUUGGGUCUAAAGGGUCUGUAGCCGGCCGGAUAAGUCUCUUGAGAAAUCUGGCAGCUUAACUGUCAGGCUUUCAGGAGAUACUGUCUGGCUCGAGGCCGGGAGAGGUGAGAGGUACUUCAGGGGUAGGGGUGAAAUCUUGUAAUCCUUGAAGGACCACCAGUGGCGAAGGCGUCUCACCAGAACGGACCUGACGGCAAGGGACGAAAGCUAGGGGCACGAACCGGAUUAGAUACCCGGGUAGUCCUAGCCGUAAACGAUACUCGCUAGGUGUCGGCCACGGUGCGACCGUUGUCGGUGCCGUAGGGAAGCCGUGAAGCGAGCCACCUGGGA
RNAcentral lists this ribosomal RNA (785 nucleotides) under uncultured Methanosaeta sp. RNAcentral describes it as "bacterial SSU rRNA". It matches the Rfam family "Archaeal small subunit ribosomal RNA", at positions 43 to 833 of the family's 1478-position model. Lineage: Archaea; Methanobacteriati; Methanobacteriota; Methanomicrobia; Methanotrichales; Methanotrichaceae. The record is from RNAcentral.